This is a microRNA precursor of Sarcophilus harrisii (Tasmanian devil), 150 nucleotides long. Ensembl annotates it as sha-mir-30c. Its record names the gene sha-mir-30c. Lineage: Eukaryota; Metazoa; Chordata; Mammalia; Dasyuromorphia; Dasyuridae. The record is from Ensembl.
CUCUUCAGGAGACAACCAUGAUGUAGUGUGUGUAAACAUCCUACACUCUCAGCUGUGAGCUCAAGGUGGCUGGGAGAGGGCUGUUUACUCCUUCUGCCAUGGAAAACCCCAGAUGAACUUCGUAAGAAGACAGCUCUCCCUGUGGGAGGG